Molecule: ribosomal RNA, 821 nt
Filed under: Chaenothecopsis montana
Lineage: Eukaryota; Fungi; Ascomycota; Eurotiomycetes; Mycocaliciales; Mycocaliciaceae
Description: eukaryotic LSU rRNA
Rfam family: Eukaryotic large subunit ribosomal RNA
Source: RNAcentral
AUUGCUCAGUACGGCGAGUGAGCGCCAACAGCUCAAAUUUGAAAUCUGGCCUCCUUUGGGGUCCGAGUUGUAAUUUGUAGAGAAUGCUUCGGGUUCGGCCACGGUCUAGUUCCUUGGAACAGGACGUCAUGGAGGGUGAAAUCCCGUGUGGGACCGCCGGCCACGCCCGUGUGAAGCGCCUUCGACGAGUCGAGUUGUUUGGGAAUGCAGCUCAAAAUGGGUGGUAAAUUUCAUCUAAAGCUAAAUAUUGGCCAGAGACCGAUAGCGCACAAGUAGAGUGAUCGAAAGAUGAAAAGCACUUUGGAAAGAGAGUUAAAAAGCAUGUGAAAUUGUUGAAAGGGAAGCGCUUGCCACCAGACUUGCCCCCGGGUGUUCAACCGGCGUUCUCGCCGGUGCACUCGCCCGGGGUCAGGCCAGCAUCGGUUCAAGCGGCCGGAUAAAGGCCCCUGGAAUGUGGCUCCCCUCGGGGAGUGUUAUAGCCAGGGGUGCAAUGCGGCCCGCCUGGACCGAGGAACGCGCUUCGGCACGGAUGCUGGCGUAAUGGUUGCAAGCGGCCCGUCUUGAAACACGGACCAAGGAGUCUAACAUCUAUGCGAGUGUUUGGGUGUCAAACCCAUGCGCGGAAUGAAAGUGAACGGAGGUGGGAGCCCUCGGGCGCACCAUCGACCGAUCCUGAUGUCUUCGAUGGAUUUGAGUAAGAGCAUAGCUGUUGGGACCCGAAAGAUGGUGAACUAUGCCUGAAUAGGGUGAAGCCAGAGGAAACUCUGGUGGAGGCUCGCAGCGGUUCUGACGUGCAAAUCGAUCGUCAAAUUUGGUAUAGG